UACGUAGGGUGCAAGCGUUGUCCGGAAUUAUUGGGCGUAAAGAGCUCGUAGGCGGUCUGUCGCGUCGGUCGUGAAAACUUGGGGCUUAACCCUGAGCUUGCGGUCGAUACGGGCAUGACUGGAGUUCGGCAGGGGAGACUGGAAUUCCUGGUGUAGCGGUGAAAUGCGCAGAUAUCAGGAGGAACACCGGUGGCGAAGGCGGAUCUCUGGACGGCUAAAACUGACGCUGAGGCGCGAAGGCCAGGGGAGCAAACGGG
RNAcentral lists this ribosomal RNA (257 nucleotides) under uncultured bacterium. Its description in RNAcentral is "partial 16S ribosomal RNA". It matches the Rfam family "Bacterial small subunit ribosomal RNA", at positions 524 to 776 of the family's 1533-position model. The record is from RNAcentral.